GCUGGGCAUGGUGGCUCAUGCCUGUAAUCCUAGCACUUUGGGAGGCCGAGGCGGGCGGAUCACCUGAGGUCGGGAGUUCGAGACCAGCCCGACCAACAUGGAGAAACCCUGUCUCUA
Molecule: unclassified non-coding RNA, 117 nt
Organism: Pongo abelii (Sumatran orangutan)
Lineage: Eukaryota; Metazoa; Chordata; Mammalia; Primates; Hominidae
Rfam family: Metazoan signal recognition particle RNA
About the family: The signal recognition particle (SRP) is a universally conserved ribonucleoprotein. It is involved in the co-translational targeting of proteins to membranes. The eukaryotic SRP consists of a 300-nucleotide 7S RNA and six proteins: SRPs 72, 68, 54, 19, 14, and 9.
Source: Ensembl